CCGGCUAGUGAGCGGGCGACGGUAUGCGGGGUCGGUGUGGGAUCCUCAGCGUGGUCAGGCGGAGGUUGGCCGUUUUUCUCACACGUCGCCUGCCCGCGAGGGGCUCGGGCCGGGGCGGACUUCCCUGGUGGUGCAGUGGUUAAGAAUCCGCCUGCCAAUGCAGGGAACGCGGGUUCGAGCCCUGGUCCGGGAAGAUCCCACAUGCCGCGGAGCAACUAAGCCCGUGCGCCACAACUACUGAGCCUGCGCUCUAGAGCCAGCGAGCCACAACUACUUGAGCUCACGUGCCACAACUAUUGAAGCCUGUGCACCUAGAGCCCGUGCUCGCAACAAGAGAAGCCACCUCAAUGAGAAGCCUGCACACCACAACGAAGAGUAGUCCCUGCUCAGCAACGAAGACCCAAUGCAGUCAAAAAUAAAUAAAUUUAUUUAAAAAAAGAAA
Lagenorhynchus albirostris (white-beaked dolphin) is the source of this 442-nucleotide long non-coding RNA. RefSeq lists it as uncharacterized. NCBI's taxonomy places the organism in Eukaryota, Metazoa, Chordata, Mammalia, Artiodactyla, Delphinidae. The transcript has 2 exons. The record is from RefSeq and is a predicted model, not a curated record.